GUGGGGAAUCUUGCGCAAUGGGCGAAAGCCUGACGCAGCCAUGCCGCGUGAAUGAUGAAGGUCUUAGGAUUGUAAAAUUCUUUCACCGGGGACGAUAAUGACGGUACCCGGAGAAGAAGCCCCGGCUAACUUCGUGCCAGCAGCCGCGGUAAUACGAAGGGGGCUAGCGUUGCUCGGAAUUACUGGGCGUAAAGGGCGCGUAGGCGGACAGUUUAGUCAGAGGUGAAAGCCCAGGGCUCAACCUUGGAAUUGCCUUUGAUACUGGCUGUCUUGAGUUUGGGAGAGGUGAGUGGAACUCCGAGUGUAGAGGUGAAAUUCGUAGAUAUUCGGAAGAACACCAGUGGCGAAGGCGACUCACUGGCCCAAUACUGACGCUGAGGCGCGAAAGCGUGGGGAGCAAACAGGAUUAGAUACCCCGGUAGUCC
RNAcentral lists this ribosomal RNA (425 nucleotides) under uncultured bacterium. Its description in RNAcentral is "partial 16S ribosomal RNA". It matches the Rfam family "Bacterial small subunit ribosomal RNA", at positions 354 to 796 of the family's 1533-position model. The record is from RNAcentral.